UCUGAGGUGAAGUUUCAUUAUAUUGUUUA
This 29-nucleotide non-coding RNA is filed under the name Mus musculus (house mouse). Lineage: Eukaryota; Metazoa; Chordata; Mammalia; Rodentia; Muridae. The record is from RNAcentral.